This 54-nucleotide ribosomal RNA is filed under the name Kondoa changbaiensis. RNAcentral's name for it is "partial 26S ribosomal RNA". The record is from RNAcentral. Lineage: Eukaryota; Fungi; Basidiomycota; Agaricostilbomycetes; Agaricostilbales; Kondoaceae.
AUGACCUCAAAUCAAGUAGGACUACCCGCUGAACUUAAGCAUAUCAAUAAGCGG